This 65-nucleotide transfer RNA is filed under the name Bothrogonia yunana. RNAcentral describes it as "tRNA-Leu". The record is from RNAcentral. Lineage: Eukaryota; Metazoa; Arthropoda; Insecta; Hemiptera; Cicadellidae.
AUUAAAUUGGCAGAUUAGUGCUUUGAUUUUAGAAAUCAAUUAUGUGUAUUUAUACAUAUUUAAUA